AGGCCUUUGGGCUGUAAACCUCUUUUCUCAAGGAAGAAGAUCUGACGGUACUUGAGGAAUAAGCCACGGCUAAUUCCGUGCCAGCAGCCGCGGUAAUACGGGAGUGGCAAGCGUUAUCCGGAAUUAUUGGGCGUAAAGCGUCCGCAGGCGGCCGUUUAAGUCUGUUGUUAAAUCGUGGAGCUCAACUCCAUCACGGCAAUGGAAACUGUUCGGCUUGAGUAUGGUAGGGGCAGAGGGAACUUCCGGUGUAGCGGUGAAAUGCGUAGAUAUCGGGAAGAACACCAGUGGCGAAAGCGCUCUGCUGGGCCAUUACUGACGCUCAUGGACGAAAGCCAGGGGAGCGAAAGGGAUUAGAUACCCCUG
RNAcentral lists this ribosomal RNA (363 nucleotides) under Candidatus Synechococcus spongiarum. RNAcentral's name for it is "bacterial SSU rRNA". It matches the Rfam family "Bacterial small subunit ribosomal RNA", at positions 412 to 790 of the family's 1533-position model. Lineage: Bacteria; Bacillati; Cyanobacteriota; Cyanophyceae; Synechococcales; Synechococcaceae. The record is from RNAcentral.